Molecule: ribosomal RNA, 468 nt
Filed under: uncultured bacterium
Lineage: Bacteria
Description: partial 16S ribosomal RNA
Rfam family: Bacterial small subunit ribosomal RNA
Source: RNAcentral
GACGAACGCUGGCGGCGUGCUUAACACAUGCAAGUCGAACGGAAAGGCCCUGCUUUUGUGGGGUGCUCGAGUGGCGAACGGGUGAGUAACACGUGAGUAACCUGCCCUUGACUUUGGGAUAACUUCAGGAAACUGGGGCUAAUACCGGAUAGGAGCGCCUGCUGCAUGGUGGGGGUUGGAAAGUUUCGGCGGUUGGGGAUGGACUCGCGGCUUAUCAGCUUGUUGGUGGGGUAGUGGCUUACCAAGGCUUUGACGGGUAGCCGGCCUGAGAGGGUGACCGGCCACCUUGGGACUGAGAUAAGGCCCAGACUCCUACGGGAGGCAGCAGUGGGGAAUAUUGCAACAUGGGCGGAAGCCUGAUGCAGCCACGCCGCGUGCGGGAUGAAGGCCUUCGGGUUGUAAACCGCUUUCGCCUGUGACGAAGCGUGAGUGACGGUAAUGGGUAAAGAAGCACCGGCUAACUACGUG